Molecule: ribosomal RNA, 298 nt
Filed under: uncultured eukaryote
Lineage: Eukaryota
Description: partial 18S ribosomal RNA
Rfam family: Eukaryotic small subunit ribosomal RNA
Source: RNAcentral
CCCUUAGAUGUUCUGGGCUGCACGCGCGCUACAAUGUCAUGAAAACCGGGAUGCUUUAACGAAAUUUAUUGCGAAACCCCAACUCAUGACGCGACUGGGAUUGACGUUUUUAAUUAUUCGCCAUGAACGAGGAAUUCCUAGUAAACGCGAAUCAUCAGUUCGUGUUGAUUAUGUCCCUGCCCUUUGUACACACCGCCCGUCGCUCCUACCGAUUGAGCGUUUUGGUGAGCACUCUGGAGUGCAGCAAUGCAUAAAUGAAUGCAAACCUGAGCGUUUAGAGGAAGGAUAAGUCGUAACA